RNAcentral lists this ribosomal RNA (700 nucleotides) under Pseudoperonospora cubensis. Its description in RNAcentral is "LSU rRNA". It matches the Rfam family "Eukaryotic large subunit ribosomal RNA", at positions 442 to 1095 of the family's 3401-position model. Lineage: Eukaryota; Oomycota; Peronosporomycetes; Peronosporales; Peronosporaceae. The record is from RNAcentral.
CGAGGAGGUAGGGCUUACGCUUGCGUUUGUCUGUUAUAUCUUGGUGGACGAGUUGUCGCGGUUGGGACUGAGGUGCCUACAACGUGCUUUUGAGUGAGUUUGUGUCUCCGUGUGCGCCGUGUGCGGAUAGCUUGCUAUGUAUGUGCGGUUGUGUGUGGAUUGAUGCGGGCUUUAACUUGUCGCCGUUCGGGACGUUGACGAAAUGGAGCGAUCCGACCCGUCUUGAAACACGGACCAAGGAGUCUAACAUGUGUGCAAGUGUUAGGGUGUGGAAACCCCAGCGCGAAAUGAAAGUGAAGGGCAGCGCAAGUUGUCUGAGGUAGGAAACGUUGUGGACUUCGGUCUGCGGCGUGGCACUAUCGACCGAUCAUGAACCUUCGUGGUGAAAGAUUUGAGUUUGAGCACAUAUGUUGGUACCCGAAAGAUGGUGAACUAUGCCUGAGUAGGGUGAAGCCAGGGGAAACUCUGGUGGAAGCUCGUAGCGAUUCUGACGUGCAAAUCGAUCGUCAAACUUGGGUAUAGGGGCGAAAGACUAAUCGAACCAUCUAGUAGCUGGUUCCCUCCGAAAUUUCCCUCAGGAUAGCAGCAACUUAUUUACGAUAGUUUUAUGAGGUAAAGCGAAUGAUUAGAGGAUUCGGGGAAGAAACUUCCUCGACCUAUUCUCAAACUUUAAAUCUGUAAGACCUGCAGGUUUCUUAAU